UUAUUAAAAACAUGGCCUAUUGAUAAUAAUUUUAGGUCUGGCCUGCCCAAUGAUGUAAAAUUAAAUGGCCGCGGUACAUUGACCGUGCAAAGGUAGCAUAAUCAUUAGUUUUUUAAUUGAAAGCUUGUAUGAAAGGUUUGAUGAGAAAAUAACUGUCUCUGUUUAAAUUAAUUAGAAUUUUAUUUUUAAGUAAAAAAGCUUAAAUAUUUAUAGAAGACGAGAAGACCCUAUAGAGUUUUAUAGUUAUUUUUAUUUAUGAAAUUUUAGUAUUUUUUAAUUUAUAAAAGUAACUAUUUGGUUGGGGUGAUUGAAAAAUUAAAUAAACUUUUUUUUUAUUAAUACACUGAUUUGUGAAUAUUUGAUCCUUUAAUAAAGAUUAUAAGAUAAAAUUACCUUAGGGAUAACAGCGUAAUUUUUUUUUAGAGUUCAAAUCAAAAAAAAAGAUUGCGACCUCGAUGUUGGAUUAAAARAAAUUAUUGGUGUAGAAGCUAAUAAAUUAGGUCUGUUCGACCUUUAAAAUUUUCCAUGAUCUGA
RNAcentral lists this ribosomal RNA (534 nucleotides) under Salcus elevatus. RNAcentral describes it as "partial 16S ribosomal RNA". It matches the Rfam family "Archaeal large subunit ribosomal RNA", at positions 1899 to 2679 of the family's 2987-position model. Lineage: Eukaryota; Metazoa; Arthropoda; Insecta; Coleoptera; Curculionidae. The record is from RNAcentral.